This 2887-nucleotide long non-coding RNA is filed under the name Phoenix dactylifera (date palm). Its description in RNAcentral is "long non-coding RNA (PDAC_LNC003167)". The record is from RNAcentral. Lineage: Eukaryota; Viridiplantae; Streptophyta; Magnoliopsida; Arecales; Arecaceae.
GGGUUAUAAUUUUUAUAAUUUUGUAUUUAUGAUUUUGUUAUAUAUGAGACUGUUUAUAUUUGCAUUAUUUUUGUAAUUAUUUUUAUACUAUCAAUAUUGGUAUUAAUAUUAAUUAUGUACAAAUAUUAUAUUGAUAUGGAUAAUACUAAUUAUAUAAUAUUAUCAUGGAAGACCAGCAACUCUUAUUAGAUUAAUAACAAUAUAAAUAUAUAUUUUAUACUAUAUAUCAUAUUAAUAACAUAUUAUAUUUUGCAUUAUAUUGUCAAUAAUAUUGUUAUAAUAUCAUAAUGCAUGGCAUAGGUUAAUUUCAUUAUUUUAUUAUCAUUAUAGCAAAUUUAAUAUUAGUUUGAAUAUUAUUAUAAUAUAAUAUUAUAUUAAUAUUAGUAGUUUAGAUAUAUAAUGUUAUAUAAUAGAACAUUAAUAUUUUAAAAUAAGAUUAAAAUUUCUAUAUUCCUAUUAGUAAUAUUUAUAUUGUGAAUAAUAACAUUAUGGGUAUUAGUAACAUACUAUUGAUAAUACAACUUUAAAAAAUAAUAUUAAUAAUAGUAAUAUUGUUAGUUAUAAUGAUAUAUUAAAUUAUUUGCUGCCGGGCUUUCUUCAUUCCUAGAGAUUACCUGGACUGAUCUUGCACAAGAACUGAAAUCAAUCAUUCUUGAUGAUUCCAUGGAAUAUAUUUCCCAGGAUUGGGGAAGUCAAUCCUGAUUUCCAUUCAUAACAACAAACGAAAUCUGCUUCAGCUGUUUCUAUGCGCUCAUGGAACCAGUCCUACUGGUAAGCAAAGAUAUAAAUAAACAGAUAGACAUAAAUAGAUACAUAAAAACAAAAACUCAGAAUCCUAAGUGAAUUAGAAUGCCCAUCAUGAACCAAAAAAAGGGCUGCACUUUCUAUAUUUUUCUCAGAAAACAAGGCAUAUAGAGCCUGAUAAUUCCAUAAUGAAUAGCAUAGUUCAGUUAACCAUCUGAUUUAUGUCUCAUGUAAAGAUAACAGAAUUAAGUUUCAAUAAAUAAGUUAUUUUCACAUGUUUUGCGAUUAGCAUAUGCCCCAGGUAACUGAACUACACAUUUUUUCACAAUUUUGAUUGGAUAGUUGACGCCUUCAUGCAUAGGGAAUAUAUUCAGACAAUGUGAUAACCAGAACUUAGAUCAAGUCUCCCCUAAAAAUUACAAAUUACAUACAUAUUACUCUUUUGCUUAAAAUGCAUAAAAAUGGUAAAAAAUGAGAUGGUAAGUUAUUUCUAUUUAUAUGAUCAUUUGUGUGAAAUUGGACAAUUGUUGCAAGUGUCCUGCUUAUCAAUAGCAUUCCUUCAAUCAAAUGUCUCUUCUAUAAGACUAGAUGCCUAGCAGCAGUGACCUCAAAUGUAGCAAUUUGCAUUGAAGGUUCCAAUGGGCUGAUAAAUGUUCAGUUCAUCCCAAAAUUCUCUCAGUUGACAACAAUACUCACUUAAUGACUUGUUUUCCUUGUUGCAUCUUGAAAAUCUGCUCAUAAAUCUCAUAUACGUGAGAUAUUCUUUUCUGAAUGAAUACAUCUCCCUUGCAGUCUUCCAAAUCUCCUUAGCUGUAUAUAAAACAUGAGAUUGCUAAUUAUAUGUGGCUCCAUGCUAUUUCAUAACAAUGUCAUAACUUGACUAUUUUCUUUUUUCCACUCCACUUUUUUCAUUAUUGGAAGGAUUUUUGGUAAGACACUGAUGCAUCUUGUUUGCUUUCAAAAAUAAUUCAAUUUCUUUCGCCUAUUGAAGAAAGUUUUUGUUCUUCAUAACUUCCAAGUGUCAUCUGCUAUCCAAGAAUAUCUUCCACGGAGAUUCCAAUUUUCUAUCAUUUCCAUCUCCCAAGUACAGUAUUUCAACCAGAAAUAAUAGAUGGCCCCGAAGGAGUAUGUGAAUAAUAAAGAAACUAUUUCAGAACAGGUCAUAAACAAAGCAAGAUUUAUGAGACAAAACCAGCAAUUCAUCUACAGAAUUCUGCACUUCAAAUGCAGCAAACCACUGUUCUGCUUAUCUGAACUGAAAGAAAGGUUUUUCCAAUCAUGCUACCGUCCAAACAGACAUCCACAUAUGUGUUUUUGUUCUCAAGAACAAACCAGCUCAUUGCUGUCAACAUCCGUCAUCUAUACAACCCUUUUUCAAUGGCAUCACUUGCUUCAAUUGAGAAAGAAUGUUAGAAAAAACUCAUAGAAACUUCAAUGGAACAAUUGAAUCCCACAUAUGAUUUAAUAUGUCUUCCUUUCAGCACAACAGCAUUUCUACUUCAUACAGAUCACCGAGAUAAUUUGGGAAUCAAAGGAUUAGGGUGUGAACGAUCAAUCUGAUCAAUCUGAUCAAACCUGGCUCUAAUACCAUGCUGAGUCAUCAAAUUACCCCAAAAGCUUAAGAUAAUAGGGAAAGAGGCAAUAAGGUAUGCCAGGCUUAACAGUAGAAUCAUGUAAUUGGUUCUAAUUUAGAGCAUACAAACUAUAAGAAAAUGAAAUACUUGAUGUCAUUGUUAACAAUGUAGGUAUAAUAAUUUGCCUUAAACUUCCAUUUGUGUUUUCGAUAUCUAUGUUGAUCAAAGUGCUUACACAUAAGGACUCAAAUCUUGAGGAUUGCUACCAUACUAAUGGCCAGUCAGUAACGAAUGAUUCUCAAUAUGGGAGCAAGAUGCCUCAAGACACCUUGUAUAAAUAAGCAAAACAAAUAGAAGAAGCAUACAAGGAGUACAAGGUUGAUAUGCCUUGAUGUGCAAUGUAACAUGUGCAAUAUGGCCUUGGUUCACCCAUUACUGGUAUGUUCUAGCCCUUAUUCUAGUAUCUUAUUGUAGUAGGGUAUGCAUCAGGUGAUAUUGGGUGCUGGAAUCAGAUGUCGACCCUUGCUUUCACAUGUUGAACCAGUAACUAGGUUUGUUUUUCAGACUCG